This 626-nucleotide ribosomal RNA is filed under the name uncultured bacterium. RNAcentral describes it as "bacterial SSU rRNA". It matches the Rfam family "Bacterial small subunit ribosomal RNA", at positions 249 to 885 of the family's 1533-position model. The record is from RNAcentral.
UUGGUGGGGUAAUGGCCUACCAAGGCGACGACGGGUAGCCGGCCUGAGAGGGCGACCGGCCACACUGGGACUGAGACACGGCCCAGACUCCUACGGGAGGCAGCAGUGGGGAAUAUUGCACAAUGGGCGGAAGCCUGAUGCAGCGACGCCGCGUGAGGGAUGACGGCCUUCGGGUUGUAAACCUCUUUCACCCAUGACGAAGCGCAAGUGACGGUAGUGGGAGAAGAAGCGCCGGCCAACUACGUGCCAGCAGCCGCGGUAAGACGUAGGGCGCGAGCGUUGUCCGGAAUUAUUGGGCGUAAAGAGCUCGUAGGCGGCUUGUCGCGUCGGCUGUGAAAUCCCGUGGCUCAACUGCGGGUCCGCAGCCGAUACGGGCAGGCUAGAGUUCGGUAGGGGAGACUGGAAUUCCUGGUGUAGCGGUGAAAUGCGCAGAUAUCAGGAGGAACACCGAUGGCGAAGGCAGGUCUCUGGGCCGAUACUGACGCUGAGGAGCGAAAGCGUGGGGAGCGAACAGGAUUAGAUACCCUGGUAGUCCACGCUGUAAACGUUGGGCGCUAGGUGUGGGGGACCUCUCCGGUUCUCUGUGCCGCAGCUAACGCAUUAAGCGCCCCGCCUGGGGAGUACGG